UUACAACACAAUGGAUAUCCCCUAACAUGUCUCCUGUGUGUUUGGAUAGAAACUAUGGUACAUAUAUGCACCAUAGUUACCCUUUCUUGAUGAUGCAAAGCCUUCUCUGCCUUAGAUAAUCCUGGGUGACAUUCUAUUUUCCUAAUAUAAUUAGCAUGUUGGGAGAUGGUCACUUACAGGGCACAAUUAUUUCCUCAAUCUAUUAAAGUACAAAAGGCCUCCUUGUUCUUCCUAGGCAAUUGAGUUGUCAGGCCCUGGAGACCAUCCUUCUCCUCUUAGUGAUUAAAAGGAAGAAAGUUCUGACUGCCACACCCAGGUACAGUAGGUGUGGUCUAAUCUCUUUCUCAAAUCAUUAGCAUCAUUGAUUGACUCUCAAGCCAGGCAGUAUAAAAGGAAGUGAAUUUGCAGAGAACCUCAAUUGGAGCAGAGCAGAGCAGAGACUUAGAGACUCAUCCAUUCUUAUUGCUUCCUGGAUAACCUUGAAAUUCAUCCUAGAAAGAGGUAUCCAUAAUAUCAUAAGGACACCAAUCAGGAAUCCGAGGCGCAGAGGAAAGGCAGAAAAGUGAAGUCCUGAGGAGCAGGAGGAUCAGGUGGCCCGAUAAGCAACCACUGACGAGUGAGCUUUGCAGCAUACUAACUAACUAACCUAACUGCCCAGCUUGUUAGCUCCAGCUGCCCCUGUUAGCUGAGGUUAGCAGCAGAAGUGGUGGCCACCCUUUGAGGAGGCCUGGCGUCUGUCUCCUUCAAUUCUCAGGAUUUCAAGAUGGCUACACA
Molecule: long non-coding RNA, 774 nt
Filed under: Cricetulus griseus (Chinese hamster)
Lineage: Eukaryota; Metazoa; Chordata; Mammalia; Rodentia; Cricetidae
Description: lncRNA (ENSCGRG00000026131.1)
Source: RNAcentral